UAGUCCACGCCGUAAACGAUGGAUACUAGCUGUUGGGCCUUAGGGUUCAGUGGCCAAGCGAAAGUGAUAAGUAUCCCACCUGGGGAGUACGUUCGCAAGGAUGAAACUCAAAGGAAUUGACGGGGGCCCGCACAAGCGGUGGAGCAUGUGGUUUAAUUCGAUGAUACGCGAGGAACCUUACCAGAACUUAAAUGCAGGUUGCAUUAGUAAGCGAUUGCUAUUCCCUUCGGGGCUAUUUGCAAGGUGCUGCAUGGUUGUCGUCAGCUCGUGCCGUGAGGUGUCAGGUUAAGUCCUAUAACGAGCGCAACCCCUAUCGUUAGUUGCUAGCAGGUAAAGCUGAGGACUCUAAUGAGACUGCCGGUGCAAACCGUGAGGAAGGUGGGGAUGAUGUCAAAUCAUCACGGCCCUUAUGUUCUGGGCUACACACGUGCUACAAUGGCAUGCACAACAGGCAGCUACCGGGCGACCGGAUGCUAAUCCCAAAAUCAUGUCACGU
This 496-nucleotide ribosomal RNA is filed under the name uncultured bacterium. RNAcentral's name for it is "bacterial SSU rRNA". It matches the Rfam family "Bacterial small subunit ribosomal RNA", at positions 791 to 1291 of the family's 1533-position model. The record is from RNAcentral.